GCCUAGAUAGCUUAGUUGCUUAGAGCAUGGUGCUGAUAACACCAAGGUUGUAGAUUUGAUCCCUGCAUGGGACA
Molecule: non-coding RNA, 74 nt
Organism: Podarcis lilfordi (Lilford's wall lizard)
Lineage: Eukaryota; Metazoa; Chordata; Lepidosauria; Squamata; Lacertidae
Source: the annotation of a GenBank genome assembly